AGAGUUUGAUUCUGGCUCAGAACGAACGCUGGCGGCGCGUUUUAAGCAUGCAAGUUGAAGGGUAAAUAUUUUAGCAAUAAGAUAUGAGACUAGCGUACGGGUGAGUAACGCGUAAGAAUCUGCCUCAAGAUGGGGGAUAGCCUUUAGAGAUAGAGGGUAAAACCGCAUAUGCCGGGAGGUGAAAGGCGCAAUUGUGCUGUCUUGAGAUGAUCUUGCGUUCCAUUAGCUAGUUGGUAGGGUAAAGGCCUACCAAGGCGACGAUGGAUAGCCGGCCUGAGAGGGUGUACGGCCACAUUGGGACUGAGACACGGCCCAGACUCCUACGGGAGGCAGCAGCUAAGAAUAUUCCGCAAUGGGAGAUAUCCUGACGGAGCGACGCCGCGUGAACGAAGAAGGCAGAAAUGUUGUAAAGUUCUUUUAUACGGGACGAAUAAGUAGAGUAGUGGAAAGAUUGUAUGAUGACGGUACCGUAUGAAUAAGCCACGGCUAACUACGUGCCAGCAGCCGCGGUAAUACGUAGGUGGCAAGCGUUGUUCGGAAUUACUGGGCGUAAAGGGCUUGUAGGUGGUUAUUUAAGUGUGAGUUAAAAUACCGAAGCUUAACUUCGAGUACGGCUUGCAAACUGGGUAGCUAGAGUGCAGGUGAGGAGACUGGAAUUCCGCGUGUAGGGGUGAAAUUUGUAGAUAUGCGGAAGAAUACCAGUGGCGAAGGCGAGUCUCUGGCCUGCAACUGACGCUGAAAAGCGAAAGUGUGGGGAGCAAACAGGAUUAGAUACCCUGGUAGUCCACACUGUAAACGUUGUACACUAGGCGUUAUAGGUAUCGACCCCUAUAGUGCCGAAGCAAUCGCGAUAAGUGUACCGCCUGGGGAGUAUGCUCGCAAGGGUGAAACUCAAAGAAAUUGACGGGGGCCCGCACAAGCGGUGGAGCAUGUGGUUUAAUUCGAUAUACGCGAAAAACCUUACCAGGGUUUGACAUUCAGAUGAUAGUUGCAGAGAUGCGACAUUCCCUUUUGGGACAUCUGGACAGGUGCUGCAUGGCUGUCGUCAGCUCGUGUUGUGAGAUGUUGGGUUAAGUCCCGCAACGAGCGCAACCCUUACUGUUAGUUGCCAUCAGGUAAAGCUGGGCACUUUAACAGAACUGCCGGUGACAAACCGGAGGAAGGUGGGGAUGACGUCAAGUCCUCAUGGCCCUUAUGUCCUGGGCUACACACGUGCUAC
This 1219-nucleotide ribosomal RNA is filed under the name metagenome. Its description in RNAcentral is "bacterial SSU rRNA". It matches the Rfam family "Bacterial small subunit ribosomal RNA", at positions 8 to 1228 of the family's 1533-position model. The record is from RNAcentral.